UCACCAUUUCAAUUCACAACCAAAACCAACAUCUUAUUCCAUUAUCACCAUUAGAAAUUGUGAAGUUUUCUUACCUCAUUCCUCUAUUUUGGUCUUGAACCACCACCAUCGCAGCCGCCACUUUUCUCGGCCUUCAUUUACCACCACGACCACCUGCUGCCUCCAUCAUUCCCAGCCACCCGCACCCGCACCAAACCAAUCAACACCUCUUCCACCACCUCGCCUCACUGCUGGCUGCUUUAAUCGACCACCACCGCCACAAUCCCCACCCCUUUCCUUCGACCAAAUCGGCCCGCAGUGCCGCACUCCCCUGCCUCUAUCAUCCUUUGCCUCUGCCGCACCACCCAGCCACAAAGACACCACACUCCGGCCACCUAACCUCGUCUUAGAACCAUCUCCGCCCCAAACAACCCAGCGAACGGCCGCUGCGCCGACCAGACUUGACCGGAAACACCCCUCCCCUGUUUUCCCCUGUUUUACUCGACCACCCUCUUCCUCCUUCCUUUUUGUUCCGCCGCACCGCAAUCACCAUCACCGGCGCGCUUUAGCGCCGCCGUGCCGCCCAGCCAGCCGCCGCCUGUCUCCCUUCUUCUCCCCUCCUCCUUCGUGCCCCCUCCCCUGCUGCUCGUGUUCUACAAUUUCAGAAACAAAGUUUCUGAAAUUGAAACUUUGUUUUAUUCCUCCUUAUUCAAGUUGGGCCAAAUCAAUUGGGCUUUGGAAUCGGACUUGAAGCUCAGGACGAACGAUCCAUCAAAUAGGAAGUAUAAACUACGGUUGAGGUACGAAGAAGAUCGUGGGAUGCCUUAGAGUGAGGAUGCAACCAUCAAAUUCACGAUCGAUGUUUAAUAAAGAUAACUAUGUCUCACUAGUAAUAAUGGAUGUAUUAUUUAAACUCUAAGUAUUAAGUUAGAUUUUAAUAUUUAUCUUUAAUCAAUGUUAGGAAUAUUUAUUAAAGUUCGUUUAGAUUUCGGUGUAAAUAUUAAAGAAUUAAUCGAAGUGAAGUAUAAUUACAGUUACUCAACAGUAGUCAGUAAAUUUAAAAAGGGUAUGUCGCCUUGUAUUUCCCACGAGGGAGAUACGGCAGUGACGCUCCGACUAAAUUAGGGUUUCCGCUGCUAAUUAAAGGUAAUUAACCUAA
Spinacia oleracea (spinach) is the source of this 1138-nucleotide long non-coding RNA. RefSeq lists it as uncharacterized. The transcript is spliced from 3 exons. Lineage: Eukaryota; Viridiplantae; Streptophyta; Magnoliopsida; Caryophyllales; Amaranthaceae. The record is from RefSeq and is a predicted model, not a curated record.